Molecule: unclassified non-coding RNA, 735 nt
Filed under: Butyrivibrio fibrisolvens
Lineage: Bacteria; Bacillati; Bacillota; Clostridia; Lachnospirales; Lachnospiraceae
Source: RNAcentral
UGCGGCUGGAUCACUUCCUUUCUAUGGAAGAAAAGAGAGAAAGAAGUAGGGAGUUGCAUUACUAUCUUGUUGUUAAAGGCAAGAAAAAACAUUUCCGGUGGCGAUGCGUCCUGGGGAGACACCCGUACCCAUCCCGAACACGACGGUUAAGACCAGGGCGGCCGAAAGUACUAUGCUGGAGACGGCAUGGGAGGAUAGGUGGCUGCCGGAUUAAUAAAAAAGGGCUUAUAGCUCAGCCGGUUAGAGCGCACGCCUGAUAAGCGUGAGGUCGGUGGUUCGAGUCCACUUAAGCCCACUGGGAGAGUACCUUUACAACCGAAUGACAGGCAAGUUUAUCGUCAUAGGGGAAAGGCCUACUUAAGCCCACUGCAGGACCAAUCAAAAUACAGGAUCCUGCAUAACAACAUGACACACGGGGGUGUAGCUCAGUUAGGAGAGCACCUGCCUUGCAAGCAGGGGGUCAUGAGUUCGAAUCUCACCAUCUCCACUAGGGAGUGAUCCCUUACCGUACCUUGAAAACCGAAUACUGAAAACACAUUUAAUCAGAGAAUCCGAUUAAAGACAUCGAACGGAUCUGCGAGAAGAUCGAAGAUCCGAGAUCCAGAAAGAACAAUGUAUGCAAGUACAGAUUCUGCCGAAGUGCAACGCUAUGCACGAGGCAGAGAGAACGUGGUUAAAAAUGGACCAAAAGUUCUAUAGGCUGACAGAGGGAAGAUGAGAGUCUUACCUCAAGAU